GAUGAACGCUAGCGGCAGGCUUAAUACAUGCAAGUCGUGGGGCAGCAUGAGUGUAGCAAUACAUUUGAUGGCGACCGGCAAACGGGUGCGGAACACGUACACAACCUUCCUUCAAGUGGGGAAUAGCCCAGGGAAACUUGGAUUAAUACCCCGUAAUAUUAUGGAGUGGCAUCACUUUAUAAUUAUAGCUCCGGCGCUUGAUGAUGGGUGUGCGCCUGANAGGUAGUUGGCGGGGUAACGGCCCACCAAGCCUUCGAUCAGUAACUGGUGUGAGAGCACGACCAGUCACACGGGCACUGAGACACGGGCCCGACUCCUACGGGAGGCAGCAGUAAGGAAUAUUGGUCAAUGGACGCAAGUCUGAACCAGCCAUGCCGCGUGGAGGAUGAAGGUCCUCUGGAUUGUAAACUUC
RNAcentral lists this ribosomal RNA (412 nucleotides) under uncultured bacterium. RNAcentral describes it as "bacterial SSU rRNA". It matches the Rfam family "Bacterial small subunit ribosomal RNA", at positions 28 to 433 of the family's 1533-position model. The record is from RNAcentral.